Molecule: ribosomal RNA, 1119 nt
Filed under: Triticum aestivum (bread wheat)
Lineage: Eukaryota; Viridiplantae; Streptophyta; Magnoliopsida; Poales; Poaceae
Description: partial small subunit ribosomal RNA
Source: RNAcentral
AUGAUACAGCACAUGGACGGCACUCCACACGACGGACUCGAGAUCCCAACUCCCAGGCGGCUCUUGGUGCUCUUUGAAAGGCGCAUCACCGUACAAGGCUUUGGUCGGUCACUCCCCGUAGAAGGCCUUCUCGAAGCACUGCAGGUACUCUGGCUCGAGCGCGAACAGCACGGACACGCCGUCGUCCUUGUCGGGCGCCUGCGUGACGUAGGCCGUGCCGCUGCCGAACAUCUGCGCCGGCGCGACGAACUUGGGGCAGCCCCAGCCGAAGUCGGCGUCGUGGAUGGGCAUGCCCAGCCAGCUCACCACCCACAGGUCCGUCUCCGGCAUGAACUGCCCGCGCGCCGCCUGGCUGCCCUUCUCCGACUCCACCUCCAGGUAGUCGAUGACGGAGCGCACGAAGGCGUCGUCCACCCGCGCCACCGCGCGCUUGAUCCGCUCCGCCACGAACCCCAGCGGCUGCGACAGCACGUCCCCCACGCGCACCGUCACCAGGUCCCGCACGAUGGCGUUGCCGAAGUAGUUGGCCGGCAGCGGCGGGCGCAGGCGCUGCCGGAUGUUGGCCGGCACGCGCAGCCGCGACUCGGCGUCGGGGGCCAGCCCGCGGGCCACGCACAUGGCGCGCCACAGGUGCGCGGUCAGCGCGCAGUAGGUGGACACGCCGGGCGCGCAGCUGGACUUGAUGCCGGCGAGGAGCUUGGGGGACACGGCGUAGACGCGGGUGACGAAGGGGCGGGGCAGGCCGUUGAGGUUGCUCGGGGAGUAGACCGGGUGCUCGAAGGUGGCGUGCGGGGGGGAGCGCGCGCGCAGCACCGUGCGGUCGUGCACCGGCGGGGUCGGGUGCACGGACGCGGCGUCCAGCCCGCGCGCCAGGGUCGUCCACGUCCGGAUGAACUGGAUCGCGCCCGCGCCGUCCAUGGUCACGUGGUGCAUGCCCGUGCCCACGGCCACGCCGCCGCACUUGAGGAACGUCACCUGCAAGACCAAACCCACGGGUUACAUUUUGCGUCCAGUAUAAUAACCGUAAGACAUGGCACGAUCAUUGAUAUCCUUGUUCCCAUUCACGUCAUCGAUCUCUUUGUUCCUCUGCUCAAACACCGUGCAGCCGCCCAGCUCUGA